AUUGAACGCUGGCGGCGUGCUUAACACAUGCAAGUCGAGCGGCAGCGCGGUAGCAAUACUGGCGGCGAGCGGCGAACGGGUGAGUAAUGCUUCGGAAUCUGCCCAGUAGUGGGGAAUAACCAGUCGAAAGACUGGCUAAUACCGCAUACGACCUGAGGGUGAAAGCGGGGGAUCGCAAGACCUCGCGCUAUUGGAUGAGCCGAAGUCGGAUUAGCUAGUUGGUAGGGUAACGGCCUACCAAGGCGACAAUCCGUAGCUGGUCUGAGAGGACGACCAGCCACACUGGGACUGAGACACGGCCCAGACUCCUACGGGAGGCAGCAGUGGGGAAUAUUGGACAAUGGGGGCAACCCUGAUCCAGCGACGCCGCGUGUGUGAAGAAGGCCUGCGGGUUGUAAAGCACUUUUAGUGGGGAGGAAAAGCUCAGACCUAACACGUCUGGGAAUUGACUUAACCCAAAGAAAAAGCACCGGCUAACUCUGUG
Molecule: ribosomal RNA, 484 nt
Filed under: uncultured bacterium
Lineage: Bacteria
Description: bacterial SSU rRNA
Rfam family: Bacterial small subunit ribosomal RNA
Source: RNAcentral